Molecule: ribosomal RNA, 443 nt
Filed under: uncultured soil bacterium
Lineage: Bacteria
Description: bacterial SSU rRNA
Rfam family: Bacterial small subunit ribosomal RNA
Source: RNAcentral
AGAACGAACGCUGGCGGCAUGCCUAAUACAUGCAAGUCGAACGAACUCUUCGGAGUUAGUGGCGCACGGGUGCGUAACGCGUGGGAAUCUGCCCCUUGGUUCGGAAUAACAGUUGGAAACGACUGCUAAUACCGGAUGAUGACGAAAGUCCAAAGAUUUAUCGCCAAGGGAUGAGCCCGCGUAGGAUUAGCUAGUUGGUGAGGUAAAGGCUCACCAAGGCAACGAUCCUUAGCUGGUCUGAGAGGAUGAUCAGCCACACUGGGACUGAGACACGGCCCAGACUCCUACGGGAGCAGCAGUAGGGAAUAGUUGGACAAGUGGGCGAAAGCCUGAUCCAGCAAUGCCGCGUGAGUGGUGAAGGCCGUUAGGUUGUAAAGCUUCUUUACCGAGAUGAUAAUGACAGUAGUCGGAGUAAUAACGCCCGGACUAACCGUCCGUGCUAG